GGUAAAUUAAUUUGCUCCCAUGUUAUGAAGGGGGAACAGAUUAUUUCAUCCAGCUAAAAUACUUGGUUCCCCCCUCAUAACUUUGGCAAAAAUUGAGCAAAUGUUUUUAAACUUAUAGGAUUUGUGGUUCAUUAAGAGAGGAAUAAGCACAUUUAAAGACUUGCUAGAAAAUUAUUUAUUUCCAUGUUAUACAGGGGGAAUGGACUAUUUCAGGCAGCUGAAAUAUAUGGUUCCCCUCCCUUUAACUUUGGCAAAUAAGAGCAAAUGCUACCAAAAUCACAGGAUUUGUUGUUGAUGAAGAGAGGAAAAAGCAUGGUGAAAGACUUUCUGGUAAAUUAAUUAGCUCCCAUGCUGUAGAGGGGGAACAGAUUAUUUCAGGCAGCUAAAAUAUAUGGUUCCCCUCCCUUUAUCUUUGGCAAAUAAUGAUCAACUGUUACCAAAUCCACAGGAUUUGAGAUAUGAGAAGAAUAAACACAGUUAAAGACUUGGAUUUAAAUCAAUUUGUUCCCAUUUUAUGGAGGUAGAAUAGAUUAUUUCAGGCAGCCAAAAUAUCUAUAACUUUGGGAAAUAAAAAGCAACUGUUUCCAAAUUCUCAAAGAAAUUUCCUUAAUCCAGUAAUCUGCUAUAUUUUACAUUAGAACAGGAUUUACCAGAAAGCCUACACGCUCAUCUUUUCAGGAAGUCUUAAAUUUUGUGCCCUGCUAUCCAGCCAGCUUCCAUUCUCUUAUAUCAGCAAUGAAAAAUUAUAAAUACACACAACGUCUUGGAAACCCAUGUUUGGUGACUGACUUUGUCAGGCUUAAGUGACAAAAGUUGAAGAAAGACCGAUUCUCUUGGCGAUA
Long non-coding RNA from Poecilia latipinna (sailfin molly), 842 nucleotides. RefSeq lists it as uncharacterized. NCBI's taxonomy places the organism in Eukaryota, Metazoa, Chordata, Actinopteri, Cyprinodontiformes, Poeciliidae. The record is from RefSeq and is a predicted model, not a curated record. The transcript has 2 exons.